Molecule: long non-coding RNA, 693 nt
Organism: Cyprinus carpio carpio
Lineage: Eukaryota; Metazoa; Chordata; Actinopteri; Cypriniformes; Cyprinidae
Source: Ensembl
CAUAGAUGGCUAUGACAAGCUGAAGCCAUUUGGAAUCGGAAUAAGUGGCUGUAUAGAUGGAUUUUCCAGGAGCAUGAUAUGGCUUGAGGCAUACAAGACCAACAAUGACUUAUUGCUGGAUGCUUCAUGGAUGCGAAACAGACCAUGUAACUUUUGGCCAAAGCUCUUGAAACCAGCGAAUCGAAAGAUGGUGCUCACUCUGUGAAGUGAAUGUGUCCAAUUCUGGAUACACCUCUUUGACAAACUGAGAGAGGAUGGGCACUUCGCAGACACUCUUCUGGACAAAUCCUUGGUCCAGUUCUGUUUCCUUAACAAAAUCCAGGAGGAGCUUGAUGAGAUUGACUAAGCUUGGAACAAUCACAGAAUACAGCCCGUCCACAACUCACGGUCACCACAUGGCCGACCAUCCAUCAUGUAUGCAGUAUCUCAUCUAUAUGGAGCCACAGACCACCUGCAUCCAGUGCAUCUGGAGAAGGUUCAAGUCUGUUUAGAAGAGUGUGUUUUCAAGGACUUUCCAUGCGAUGAAGACAUUUUUAACACAUGUUGAUCUUAUGUCAGAGCAUGAUUUAAACCAAACGAUGUGUUUGCAGCAGUGGACUUGUACAUAACACUUAGGGAGCUAAUUAGCAGUGAGUUGGAGCCUCAUAACUAAAAAAUGUGUUGCUGAAGACUUAACAUUUGAGAUUUCAAUUC